RNAcentral lists this ribosomal RNA (252 nucleotides) under uncultured bacterium. RNAcentral describes it as "partial 16S ribosomal RNA". It matches the Rfam family "Bacterial small subunit ribosomal RNA", at positions 524 to 776 of the family's 1533-position model. The record is from RNAcentral.
UACGUAGGUCCCGAGCGUUAUCCGGAUUUAUUGGGCGUAAAGCGAGCGCAGGCGGUUAGAUAAGUCUGAAGUUAAAGGCUGUGGCUUAACCAUAGUACGCUUUGGAAACUGUUUAACUUGAGUGCAAGAGGGGAGAGUGGAAUUCCAUGUGUAGCGGUGAAAUGCGCAGAGAUAUGGAGGAACACCAGUGGCGAAGGCGACUUUCUGGUCUGUGAUUGACGCUGAGGCUCGAAAGCGUGGGUAGCAAACAGG